UCCUAGCCCCGAUAGAAGUGGAAAUCCUUUUGUGGCACUUCUUUAGCGGCGCAAAAGAUUGAAACGUCCCGAAGCUUCGGGAGCGGGA
This 88-nucleotide small RNA is filed under the name Flavobacterium sp. 9. Its description in RNAcentral is "Flavo-1 RNA". The record is from RNAcentral. Lineage: Bacteria; Pseudomonadati; Bacteroidota; Flavobacteriia; Flavobacteriales; Flavobacteriaceae.